Long non-coding RNA from Cyanistes caeruleus (blue tit), 627 nucleotides. RefSeq lists it as uncharacterized. The record is from RefSeq and is a predicted model, not a curated record. NCBI's taxonomy places the organism in Eukaryota, Metazoa, Chordata, Aves, Passeriformes, Paridae.
CACCAAGGGCUAUUUAUUGUCACAAAGGCAGCUGUGGGCUGCAGGUGGGUGAGGACACUCGUGGUUGAGGACAGCAGCACAGCCUGUUCUCUCUCCUGGCAUUCCGUGCCUGCCCGCACGGUUUGUGCUCCCUGCCCUCGGCUCAGCGGCUGGAAAAGCAACCAAAGGCCAGGCAGGAAGAGCUCCUGCUCUCCAUGGCAACAUCCAACAAACUCUGGGAGCUGGGGAGGCUGCCAGAGCUCCGUGGGCUCCAAUGGUUUGCAGGACGUGACCUGGGCUCCUGGGGCUGUGAUGGGGCAGCUGCGCCUUCCCCAGGCUUGGAAGGACAUCAGGAGUCAACAGAGGAAAGGAAAACACCAGGACUUGCUGAUGUUGUGUUCCAGCCAUCCACAGCCUCAUCCCAGGGAAGCUGUGAGGGAUGAAACGUGGAUAUGGGACCUCUGCAGGCACAGACAGCUUGGCUUGAGAGGGACCCUGAGGAUCACCCAAUUCCAGCCCCUCUGCCAUGGGCAGCAUCACCUUCCAGCCCACUAUCCCUGCCUAAACACCAGGCUCCAGCAUUCUGGAAUAGCAGCCACCAGGAUUCAGAGAAAAACCAAUAAACCAACUCUAGUUCUCCUGAUUUUC